This 301-nucleotide ribosomal RNA is filed under the name uncultured Acidilobus sp. RNAcentral describes it as "partial 16S ribosomal RNA". The stretch from base 53 to 301 matches the Rfam family "Bacterial small subunit ribosomal RNA", at positions 547 to 795 of the family's 1533-position model. The record is from RNAcentral. Lineage: Archaea; Thermoproteati; Thermoproteota; Thermoprotei; Acidilobales; Acidilobaceae.
UGUUAUGUGGGGGGGAGGGGCGGGGGUGAUAAGGGGGGGGAAAGGGUAAAUCGGAUGUGCUGGGCGGAGAGCGAGGGUAGGUGGCGAAUUAAGUCAAAUGUUAAAUCCGCGAGCUUAACGUGGGAAUUGGAUUCGGUACUGGUUAGCUAGAGUAUGGGAGAGGAUGGUAGAAUUCCAGGUGUAGCGGUGAAAUGCGUAGAGAUCUGGAGGAAUACCGAUGGCGAAGGCAGCCAUCUGGCCUAAUACUGACACUGAGGUGCGAAAGCAUGGGGAGCAAACAGGAUUAGAUACCCCAGUAGUC